Molecule: non-coding RNA, 150 nt
Filed under: Pan troglodytes (chimpanzee)
Lineage: Eukaryota; Metazoa; Chordata; Mammalia; Primates; Hominidae
Source: Rfam by way of RNAcentral
GCUGGGUGUGGUGGCAGGCACACCUGUAGUCCCAGCUACCUGGGGGGCUGAGGUGGGAGGAUCGCUGGAGCCUGGGAGGUCAAAGCUGCGGUGAGCCCAGAUUGUGCCACUGCACUCUAGCCUAGGUGACAGAGCGAGAUCCUGUCUCAU